UGCGUAGGCGGCCCGUUAAGACAGGGGUGAAAUCCCGCAGCUCAACUGCGGAACUGCCCUUGAUACUGGGGGGCUCGGAUCGGCGCGAGGCGGGCGGAACGUGGCAUGUAGCGGUGAAAUGUUUAGAUAUGCCACAGAACACCGAUUGCGUAGGCAGCUUGCCAGAGCCGUAUCGACGCUGAGGCACGAAAGCGUGGGGAGCGAACAGGAUUAGAUACCCUGGUAGUCC
RNAcentral lists this ribosomal RNA (229 nucleotides) under uncultured bacterium. RNAcentral describes it as "partial 16S ribosomal RNA". It matches the Rfam family "Bacterial small subunit ribosomal RNA", at positions 568 to 796 of the family's 1533-position model. The record is from RNAcentral.